RNAcentral lists this long non-coding RNA (223 nucleotides) under Mytilus galloprovincialis (Mediterranean mussel). The record is from RNAcentral. Lineage: Eukaryota; Metazoa; Mollusca; Bivalvia; Mytilida; Mytilidae.
UUUGCGAAUCUUUUCUCCUGACCUAUCAAAGCGACAUGUUUAUGAGGUUAGAUCUGAGAGUUAGAUAAACCAGUUCACAUGAUUAUCUCAUGAAAUAUGACUUUACGAUGCACAUCAGUUCUUUGUUGAAGAACAAAGACAAACCCAUAUAUUUAAAUUGAUGAAUGUGCUGGAGAUGUGCUGAUUUUCAAGACAUUUCUGUAAAAAUAACUUAGUCAGCGGG